AUGACUCAACUUUAUACUAACUUUAGUGCAAAGUUGGGUCAUCUAUUUUGGAACGGAGGGAGUACUACACUACAUCAGAGAGUUCGAUGGUCUGAAGCUGAUAACACUGCCAACCCCAGUAAGUUGUCAAACCUCUUCAUUACUGUUGAGAUCGCAAACAUGCAGUUACUAACAGACAUGCUCCCUGCAGGGCUUGAUUUCAUACCUAAGGAUGCAGAUGGCGUACAAGAUUCUCAGGAUAAAGGCAACAAGGCCGACUUCCCAAACAACAUGUAUGAUUGCGGCACUUGUAGAAGCAGUCGCCGGCGAACUGGCCGCGCAGUCCGGGCAGUGGACUAA
This 339-nucleotide ribosomal RNA is filed under the name Triticum aestivum (bread wheat). RNAcentral's name for it is "partial small subunit ribosomal RNA". Lineage: Eukaryota; Viridiplantae; Streptophyta; Magnoliopsida; Poales; Poaceae. The record is from RNAcentral.